This 425-nucleotide ribosomal RNA is filed under the name uncultured bacterium. Its description in RNAcentral is "partial 16S ribosomal RNA". It matches the Rfam family "Bacterial small subunit ribosomal RNA", at positions 354 to 796 of the family's 1533-position model. The record is from RNAcentral.
GUGGGGAAUAUUGGACAAUGGGCGCAAGCCUGAUCCAGCCAUGCCGCGUGAGUGAUGAAGGCCUUAGGGUUGUAAAGCUCUUUCAGUGGGGACGAUAAUGACGGUACCCACAGAAGAAGCCCCGGCUAACUUCGUGCCAGCAGCCGCGGUAAUACGAAGGGGGCUAGCGUUGUUCGGAUUUACUGGGCGUAAAGCGCACGUAGGCGGAUCGUUAAGUCGGGGGUGAAAUCCUGGAGCUCAACUCCAGAACUGCCUUCGAUACUGGCGAUCUCGAGUCCGGAAGAGGUGAGUGGAACUCCUAGUGUAGAGGUGGAAUUCGUAGAUAUUAGGAAGAACACCAGUGGCGAAGGCGGCUCACUGGUCCGGUACUGACGCUGAGGUGCGAAAGCGUGGGGAGCAAACAGGAUUAGAAACCCCGGUAGUCC